GUGCCAGCAGCCGCGGUAAGACAGAGGUGCCGAGCGUUAGGCGGAAUCACUGGGCUUAAAGCGUGUGUAGGCGGAGUGCUAAGUACCUUGUGAAAUCCCACGGCUUAACCGUGGAACUGCUUGGUAUACUGGUUCUCUUGGGUCAUCUAGGGGCGAGCGGAACAAACGGUGGAGCGGUGAAAUGCGUAGAUAUCGUUUGGAACGCCAAUGGUGAAAACAGCUCGCUGGGGAUGCACCGACGCUGAGACACGAAAGCCAGGGGAGCGAACGGGAUUAGAAACCCUAGUAGUCC
Molecule: ribosomal RNA, 292 nt
Filed under: uncultured bacterium
Lineage: Bacteria
Description: partial 16S ribosomal RNA
Rfam family: Bacterial small subunit ribosomal RNA
Source: RNAcentral